GGGGGCGCUUGAUUCACAUCCCUUGGCUUCGUUCGCAUGUCCGCUGCCUUUUAAGCAGUAGGUCGUAGGUUCGAUUCCUACCGUCCUCA
RNAcentral lists this transfer RNA (89 nucleotides) under Planctomycetota bacterium. RNAcentral describes it as "tRNA-Lys". The record is from RNAcentral. Lineage: Bacteria; Pseudomonadati; Planctomycetota.